Molecule: long non-coding RNA, 978 nt
Organism: Setaria italica (foxtail millet)
Lineage: Eukaryota; Viridiplantae; Streptophyta; Magnoliopsida; Poales; Poaceae
Exons: 3
Source: RefSeq, a predicted model, not a curated record
CUUUCUUCUACAUGGUGUGGGCUUAUAUAGAGAUAUAGAAGUGGAGAUUAGGGUGCUGAAGUCUAAUCAAGAUCUAGCAUAGUAGCAACUUUGAUUCUCUGAAGAUCUAAGAGAUUGGAGAGAAUCGUCUAGCUGGUGAUCACACCAAUCUGUGAGCCGUCCCACGGUGGCUUCUGACAGGGAUAGUUGAUUCUUCUGCAAGUUGAAUACUUGAUGUUUAUGUGGGAAGUCGAGAAGUUCUGGUCCCUUUAUUUUGUUAGAAGAUGGUUUUGCAUGGUAUCCUUGGGCACUGUGGUUUCAUCGUGCUGAUCAAACUACCAAUGCGGUGAUUGCCUGUUCUUCCAUAUGCCUGUAGAUCUUCAAGUCAAAAUUGGCCAGUCACUUGUAGAUCACGAGGGGUUCUCAUGCUUACAUGUUUUUAGAUGCAAGCUCCAGUUAACGCCUGGGGACAGAGCUAGAAUUUCCUUACAUGCUCAGAACAGCAAUUCCUCGAAAUAAGUCUGAAGGUUUCACUCUUUCGGAAGUGUGAAUAAAAGUUUUCUGAGAAGCGCAAUCAAAUUGUUUCUGUAUUGUUACAACAAAAUAAUUCCUCAUAGGAUUUGGAACCUGUUUGUAAAGGGAAUCUUAAAGCAGCACCUAUUGGUACAGAUAUACCACUGAACUUAUGUUAAGCGGCUGUGUUAUGAAUCUCCGAAUGAGUGAUCAGAGACUCAGAGUGAUUCUGCAAUUCCUUCCAUCCAGUUUUACUCUGACAGCUACAUACAUCUCUCUGCACCCUGUCUACAGAUCAAGCAUUCAUUCAUACUGUUCACUGUAACUUGCCAGUAUUUUUUGUGCACAUGGUGUGACUACUAGCUCGUACAGGUCUUGGUUGACUUACGUACAACCAAUGGAUUAUUGGAUUCCCAGUAUUUUUUACUGCGUGUUUUUGCAGAAGACUGAAGCCUGUAGACUUGUACUUCACCUCACAUGGGCCGU